GACGGAGGUGCAAGCGUUGUUCGGAUUGACUGGGCGUAAAGGGCGUGUAGGCGGUCGGCCAAGUCUGAUGUGAAAGCCCGAGGCUCAGCCUCGGAAGUGCGUCGGAAACUAGUCGGCUGGAGCGCGAUAGAGGAGGGGUGGAAUUCCUGGUGUAGCGGGUGAAAUGCGUAGAGUAUCAGGAGGAACACCGGCGGCGAAGGCGGCCC
This 206-nucleotide ribosomal RNA is filed under the name uncultured bacterium. Its description in RNAcentral is "partial 16S ribosomal RNA". It matches the Rfam family "Bacterial small subunit ribosomal RNA", at positions 524 to 727 of the family's 1533-position model. The record is from RNAcentral.